GUGGGGAAUAUUGGACAAUGGGCGAAAGCCUGAUCCAGCCAUGCCGCGUGUGUGAAGAAGGUCUUCGGAUUGUAAAGCACUUUAAGUUGGGAGGAAGGGCAGUAAGUUAAUACCUUGCUGUUUUGACGUUACCGACAGAAUAAGCACCGGCUAACUUCGUGCCAGCAGCCGCGGUAAUACGAAGGGUGCAAGCGUUAAUCGGAAUUACUGGGCGUAAAGCGCGCGUAGGUGGUUUUGUAAGUUGGAGGUGAAAUCCCCGGGCUCAACCUGGGAACGGCCUCCAAAACUGCAUGACUAGAGUACGGUAGAGGGUAGUGGAAUUGCCUGUGUAGCGGUGAAAUGCGUAGAUAUAGGAAGGAACACCAGUGGCGAAGGCGACUACCUGGACUGAUACUGACACUGAGGUGCGAAAGCGUGGGGAGCAAACAGGAUUAGAAACCCGAGUAGUCC
RNAcentral lists this ribosomal RNA (450 nucleotides) under uncultured bacterium. Its description in RNAcentral is "partial 16S ribosomal RNA". It matches the Rfam family "Bacterial small subunit ribosomal RNA", at positions 354 to 796 of the family's 1533-position model. The record is from RNAcentral.